UACGUAGGGGGCAAGCGUUGUCCGGAUUUAUUGGGCGUAAAGAGCGUGUAGGCGGCUUUACAGGUCCGUUGUGAAAACUCGAGGCUCAACCUCGAGACGCCGGUGGAAACCGUAAGGCUAGAGUCCGGAAGAGGAGAGUGGAAUUCCUGGUGUAGCGGUGAAAUGCGUAGAUACUGGGAGGAACACCAGUGGCGAAGGCGGCUACCUGGACCGGUACUGACGCUGAGGCGCGAAAGCGUGGUUAGCAAACAGG
RNAcentral lists this ribosomal RNA (253 nucleotides) under uncultured bacterium. RNAcentral's name for it is "partial 16S ribosomal RNA". It matches the Rfam family "Bacterial small subunit ribosomal RNA", at positions 524 to 776 of the family's 1533-position model. The record is from RNAcentral.